CCUACGGGAGGCAGCAGUGGGGAAUAUUGCGCAAUGGAGGAAACUCUGACGCAGCAACGCCGCGUGGGUGAAGAAGGUCUUCGGAUUGUAAAGCCCUGUCGGGAGGGAAGAAAAGCACAUGGUGAAUGUGUCUGACGGUACCUUCGAAGGAAGCACUGGCUAACUCCGUGCCAGCAGCCGCGGUAAUACGGAGAGUGCAAACGUUGUUCGGAAUUAUUGGGCGUAAAGGGCGCGUAGGCGGCUUGGUAAGUCAGAUGUGAAAGCCCUGGGCUCAACCCGGGAAGUGCGUUUGAAACUGCUAAGCUUGAGUGCAGGAGGGAGAGGUGGAAUUCCAGGUGUAGGAGUGAAAUCCGUAGAUAUCUGGAGGAACACCGGUGGCGAAGGCGACCUCUUGGCCUGAAACUGACGCUGAGGCGCGAAGGCGUGGGUAGCAAACAGGAUUAGAUACCCUGGUGGUCCACGCGGUAAACGAUGCUCACUGGGUGCUGGUGGCAGACGCUGUCAGUGCCGUAGCUAACGCGAUAAGUGAGCCGCCUGGGGAGUACGGUCGCAAGAUUAAAACCUCAAAUGAAUUGACGG
Molecule: ribosomal RNA, 579 nt
Filed under: uncultured bacterium
Lineage: Bacteria
Description: bacterial SSU rRNA
Rfam family: Bacterial small subunit ribosomal RNA
Source: RNAcentral